AAAACGACUCUCGGCAACGGAUAUCUCGGCUCUCGCAUCGAUGAAGAACGUAGCGAACUGCGGUACUUGGUGUGAAUUGCAGAAUCCCGUGAACCAUCGAGUCUUUGAACGCAAGUUGCGCCCGAAGCCAUUAGGCCGAGGGCACGUCUGCCUGGGCGUCACGC
RNAcentral lists this ribosomal RNA (164 nucleotides) under Gentiana robusta. RNAcentral describes it as "5.8S ribosomal RNA". It matches the Rfam family "5.8S ribosomal RNA". Rfam says of the family: 5.8S ribosomal RNA (5.8S rRNA) is a component of the large subunit of the eukaryotic ribosome. It is transcribed by RNA polymerase I as part of the 45S precursor that also contains 18S and 28S rRNA. The record is from RNAcentral. Lineage: Eukaryota; Viridiplantae; Streptophyta; Magnoliopsida; Gentianales; Gentianaceae.